This 465-nucleotide ribosomal RNA is filed under the name uncultured bacterium. RNAcentral describes it as "partial 16S ribosomal RNA". It matches the Rfam family "Bacterial small subunit ribosomal RNA", at positions 338 to 795 of the family's 1533-position model. The record is from RNAcentral.
CCUACGGGAGGCAGCAGUGGGGAAUAUUGCGCAAUGGACGAAAGUCUGACGCAGCGACGCCGCGUGAGGGAUGAAGGUUUUCGGAUCGUAAACCUCUGUCAGGAGGGAAGAAAGCGCAUGGCGCCAAUCAGCCAUGCGUUGACGGUACCUCCAAAGGAAGCGCCGGCUAACUCCGUGCCAGCAGCCGCGGUAAUACGGAGGGCGCGAGCGUUAAUCGGAAUUACUGGGCGUAAAGGGUGCGUAGGUGGUUUGGCAAGUUAGUAGCGUAACUCCAAGGCUCAACCUUGGAACUACUACUAAAACUGUUGGACUUGAGUGCAGGAGGGGCAACAGGAAUUCCUAGUGUAGCGGUGGAAUGCGUAGAUAUUAGGAGGAACACCAGGGGCGAAGGCGGGUUGUUAGACUGUAACUGACACUGAGGCACGAAAGCGUGGGGAGCAAACAGGAUUAGAUACCCUUGUAGUC